This 674-nucleotide ribosomal RNA is filed under the name uncultured Pseudomonadota bacterium. Its description in RNAcentral is "bacterial SSU rRNA". It matches the Rfam family "Bacterial small subunit ribosomal RNA", at positions 68 to 734 of the family's 1533-position model. The record is from RNAcentral. Lineage: Bacteria; Pseudomonadati; Pseudomonadota.
CACAGUAAGAGCUUGCUCUUAUGGGUGGCGAGUGGCGGACGGGUGAGGAAUACAUCGGAAUCUACUCUGUCGUGGGGGAUAACGUAGGGAAACUUACGCUAAUACCGCAUACGACCUACGGGUGAAAGCAGGGGAUCUUCGGACCUUGCGCGAUUGAAUGAGCCGAUGUCGGAUUAGCUAGUUGGCGGGGUAAAGGCCCACCAAGGCGACGAUCCGUAGCUGGUCUGAGAGGAUGAUCAGCCACACUGGAACUGAGACACGGUCCAGACUCCUACGGGAGGCAGCAGUGGGGAAUAUUGGACAAUGGGCGCAAGCCUGAUCCAGCCAUACCGCGUGGGUGAAGAAGGCCUUCGGGUUGUAAAGCCCUUUUGUUGGGAAAGAAAUCCAGCCGGCUAAUACCUGGUUGGGAUGACGGUACCCAAAGAAUAAGCACCGGCUAACUUCGUGCCAGCAGCCGCGGUAAUACGAAGGGUGCAAGCGUUACUCGGAAUUACUGGGCGUAAAGCGUGCGUAGGUGGUCGUUUAAGUCCGUUGUGAAAGCCCUGGGCUCAACCUGGGAACUGCAGUGGAUACUGGACGACUAGAGUGUGGUAGAGGGUAGCGGAAUUCCUGGUGUAGCAGUGAAAUGCGUAGAGAUCAGGAGGAACAUCCAUGGCGAAGGCAGCUACCUGGAC